Molecule: long non-coding RNA, 406 nt
Organism: Sinocyclocheilus grahami
Lineage: Eukaryota; Metazoa; Chordata; Actinopteri; Cypriniformes; Cyprinidae
Exons: 6
Source: RefSeq, a predicted model, not a curated record
AUUUAACAGGAGGGGGCAAUUCAUUUUUACUUUACUUUAUUUAACGGAUUUUAUAAGGAGGCAGAUUGAUGAAGAUAAGGAUGUUGGUAGGAUACAACUGCAUUUAGAAACAUUGCACAAAUCCUGUCUCCUGGGCCUUGGCGUGAAUACUGUGUCAACGAUAUUAUGGGCCUUCCACGACAACAUCUCAGCAACAGCUGUGGUGUCUUUGUCCUGAUGUAUUCACUGUACUUUGUGACAUCAGGGGCCUUUGAUUUUACAGAGGAUACCCCCAGCUAAAAGUUUUUGGAAUUCCCGCUUCCAGGACAUUAACUGGGAGGAGGCUUUUAUGAUCUCCAGGAGAUACUGUCAUCAAUAAGAUUCGCGAGGUUUCAUUUAAAAUUGUUCAUUGUAUUUAUCCAGUAAA